GCGGGUGUAGCUCAGUUGGUUAGAGCGCCGGCCUGUCACGCCGGAGGUCGCGGGUUCGAGCCCCGUCACUCGCGCC
Molecule: transfer RNA, 76 nt
Filed under: Sphingomonas paucimobilis
Lineage: Bacteria; Pseudomonadati; Pseudomonadota; Alphaproteobacteria; Sphingomonadales; Sphingomonadaceae
Description: tRNA-Asp
Rfam family: tRNA
About the family: Transfer RNA (tRNA) molecules are approximately 80 nucleotides in length. Their secondary structure includes four short double-helical elements and three loops (D, anti-codon, and T loops).
Source: RNAcentral